Molecule: ribosomal RNA, 447 nt
Filed under: uncultured bacterium
Lineage: Bacteria
Description: bacterial SSU rRNA
Rfam family: Bacterial small subunit ribosomal RNA
Source: RNAcentral
UAACGAAUCUUCCGCAAUGGGCGCAAGCCUGACGGAGCAAUACCGCGUGUAGGAUGAAGCGUCUCUGACGUGUAAACUACUGUCAGGGGUCAGAAACAAUGAUUGACCCCAAAGGAAGUGGCGACUAACUCUGUGCCAGCAGUCGCGGUAAUACAGAGGCCACGAGCGUUAAUCGGAAUUACUGGGCGUAAAGCGUGCGCAGGCGGCUCCUUAAGUCAGAUGUGAAAUCCCCGGGCUUAACCUGGGAACUGCGUUUGAAACUGAGGGGCUAGAGUGUGGAAGAGGGGGGUGGAAUUCCAGGUGUAGCAGUGAAAUGCGUAGAGAUCUGGAGGAACACCGAUGGCGAAGGCAGCCCCCUGGGCUAACACUGACGCUCAUGCACGAAAGCGUGGGGAGCAAACAGGAUUAGAUACCCCCGUAGUCCCUGAGCGGGCUGGCAAGGCGCAU